This 463-nucleotide ribosomal RNA is filed under the name Acinetobacter sp. P2. RNAcentral describes it as "bacterial SSU rRNA". It matches the Rfam family "Bacterial small subunit ribosomal RNA", at positions 58 to 515 of the family's 1533-position model. The record is from RNAcentral. Lineage: Bacteria; Pseudomonadati; Pseudomonadota; Gammaproteobacteria; Moraxellales; Moraxellaceae.
CAAGUCGAGCGGAGAGAGGUAGCUUGCUACUGAUCUUAGCGGCGGAUGGGUGAGUAAUGCUUAGGAAUCUGCCUAUUAGUGGGGGACAACAUUUCGAAAGGAAUGCUAAUACCGCAUACGUCCUACGGGAGAAAGCAGGGGAUCUUCGGACCUUGCGCUAAUAGAUGAGCCUAAGUCGGAUUAGCUAGUUGGUGGGGUAAAGGCCUACCAAGGCGACGAUCUGUAGCGGGUCUGAGAGGAUGAUCCGCCACACUGGGACUGAGANNCGGCCCAGACUCCUACGGGAGGCAGCAGUGGGGAAUAUUGGACAAUGGGCGCAAGCCUGAUCCAGCCAUGCCGCGUGUGUGAAGAAGGCCUUAUGGUUGUAAAGCACUUUAAGCGAGGAGGAGGCUACUUUAGUUAAUACCUAGAGAUAGUGGACGUUACUCGCAGAAUAAGCACCGGCUAACUCUGUGCCAGCAGC